ACCUGACUAAAGAGAGAGGCCAGCUACAGACCAGUUACAACAACCUGACUAAAGAGAGAGACCAGCUACAAAAGGAGAGAGAUGGUCUCCUGAGAAAGUUCUCUAUUCUGAAACAAACCUGUCCCGAAGGCUGGCAGAAGUUUGAAUGCAGUUGUUACUUCAUCUCUACUGAGAAGAAAACCUGGAGGGACAGCAGACAGGACUGUCUGAAGAGAAGAGCAGACCUCGUCAUCGUAAACAGUUAUAAGGAACUAACAUUAAUCAAGGGGUUUAACGAAGUCUAUGUAACCUGGAUUGGUCUGACUGACUCUGUUACUGAGGGGACCUGGAAAUGGGUGGACUGGAACCCCACUGACCAACCCAAGGUAUUGGGACAUUCGAGAGCCUAAUGGUGGUGUACGUGAGAAUUGUGUGUUGUCCGGUCACAGUUCAUCAGGCCAAGGAACAUGGCAUGACUAUCCGUGUUCAUUUAACAGUUCCUGGAUCUGUGAGAUAUAGUUAUCUCUUGCUCUCUCGUAGUUAUCAUGUUGAUGGUCGUGCUGAAUGUCAUGAUGCCAACUACAGUGCCUUCAGAAAGUGUUCACACCCCUUGACUUUUUCCACAUUUUGUUGUGU
Molecule: long non-coding RNA, 615 nt
Organism: Coregonus clupeaformis (lake whitefish)
Lineage: Eukaryota; Metazoa; Chordata; Actinopteri; Salmoniformes; Salmonidae
Exons: 4
Source: RefSeq, a predicted model, not a curated record